RNAcentral lists this ribosomal RNA (387 nucleotides) under uncultured eukaryote. RNAcentral describes it as "SSU rRNA". It matches the Rfam family "Eukaryotic small subunit ribosomal RNA", at positions 587 to 972 of the family's 1831-position model. The record is from RNAcentral.
AGCUCCAAUAGCGUAUAUUAAAGUUGUUGCAGUUAAAAAGCUCGUAGUUGAAUUUCUGGUACACUGCGCCUGGCCCGCUCCGGUUACGGACGCGAGUGCCGGUGCGCGGUUGCCAUCCUUCUAGGGAACGUGCCUACCCUUCAUUGGGUCGGGCCCGGAAUCUAGAUCUUUUACUUUGAAAAAUUAGAGUGUUUAAAGCAGGCUAGCGCUAUGAAUACAUUAGCAUGGAAUAAUGAUUUAGGACUUUGGUUCUAUUUUGUUGGUUAUAGGACUGAAGUAAUGAUUGAUAGGGAUAGUUGGGGGUGCUAGUAUUCAGCGGCCAGAGGUGAAAUUCUUGGAUUCGCUGAAGACUAACUUAUGCGAAAGCAUUCACCAAGGAUGUCUUCU